RNA transcript from Dreissena polymorpha, 1194 nucleotides. RefSeq lists it as uncharacterized. The transcript has 7 exons. The record is from RefSeq and is a predicted model, not a curated record. Lineage: Eukaryota; Metazoa; Mollusca; Bivalvia; Myida; Dreissenidae.
UUAAAGUAAUGAUGGCGACUGAGCCUGUGGUCAAACGGAUGAAAAACAAAAACUGGAACGCAUCGGAAACGACAAUUCUUGUCGAACGGUGUGUUGAAGGGUAUAGCCUUCUGUUUGGAAGUCAUUCGCCUUCGGUAACGGAAGGGAAAAAGGAUUUGUUUUGGAAGGAAACAAUUGAAAUGAUAAAUGCAGUUGGACCCGGGAGAAGUUUGCAUGAGGCAAAAAGAAAAUGGGUGGACCUAAAAAGUUCCACAAAGGCCAAAGAAAAAAAAUUAAAAAGGAAGUGGGAAAAACAGGUGGUGGACCUGCGCCAGACAAGUUGACACCACUUGAAGAAAAGGUGCUGACUGUCAUUCCGAAAGCGUCCAUUGAGGGUGUCACUGCAGAGGGGGAUGUUUUUUUAGACAAUCUUAAAGGUAAUCUGAAUAAUUAAUAUACAUAAACAACCAGCAUAUAAUAAAAAUCCUCAUGAGAUAAUCCUCCAUUGAGGAGAAAUUUGAGACUGAAGAAGUGCAAUGUACACACAAUGAAAACAAAAUGGUUUCACUGGCUGAAAAUGUUGCACCACUUCAAUUGACUGAAAAUUUAAAAACUCAAACAGAAGUUGCAUCAAGCAGCUGUAUUAAAUUAGAAAACAAAAAACAGAAGACAGACACAACAAAUACCACAUGUCAAGCAUGUAGGAGCAGUGUGACGAAAACCCAGGAGGAGAUGCUGAUUGCAUCAAGAGAAAGAAAUACCAUACUGAAAGACAUUAACAAAAAUCUCGAGGAACUGGUUUCUUUAAAGAAAAUGAAAUUCUUAAAUGCGCAAUUGUUUCCCGAAUUGUAAAUUGGUUUUAACUGUGAUGAUGUUAAGUGUUAAGUGUUUCUAUGAACCGUAUAAACUAAAUGAUGUAAUUUUAUUAUUAAUUGUCAGACGAGUUAUUACACUGUGCCCAGUUGGUAUAUUGUAAUUUCUAAAUAAUAAUAAAUACAUGUGAAUGUUCUUUAUGUUUUAUUAAUUGAAUAUAAGUAUAGUUGCAAUUGUAAUCAAAAACCAUACAUAUCAUUAGGAUAAAAAUGCCUAUAAAAUUACUAAAAACUUGCACAGGUAGAUUAAUAAUUUAGGAAGUACAAUAUACCAACUCCGCAUGGUGUUGUAAUUCAUCUGACAAUUUAUAAUAAAACUAAAUAAAAAUAUUAGAAAAAACUC